RNAcentral lists this ribosomal RNA (492 nucleotides) under uncultured bacterium. RNAcentral describes it as "partial 16S ribosomal RNA". It matches the Rfam family "Bacterial small subunit ribosomal RNA", at positions 29 to 507 of the family's 1533-position model. The record is from RNAcentral.
AGUGAACGCUGGCGGUAGGCCUAACACAUGCAAGUCGAACGGCAGCACAGUAAGAGCUUGCUCUUACGGGUGGCGAGUGGCGGACGGGUGAGGAACACAUCGGAAUCUACUUUUUCGUGGGGGAUAACGUAGGGAAACUUACGCUAAUACCGCAUACGACCUACGGGUGAAAGCAGGAGAUCUUCGGACCUUGCGCGAUUGAAUGAGCCGAUGUCGGAUUAGCUAGUUGGCGGGGUAAAGGCCCACCAAGGCGACGAUCCGUAGCUGGUCUGAGAGGAUGAUCAGCCACACUGGAACUGAGACACGGUCCAGACUCCUACGGGAGGCAGCAGUGGGGAAUAUUGGACAAUGGGCGCAAGCCUGAUCCAGCCAUACCGCGUGGGUGAAGAAGGCCUUCGGGUUGUAAAGCCCUUUUGUUGGGAAAGAAAAGCAGCAGGUUAAUACCCCGCUGUUCUGACGGUACCCAAAGAAUAAGCACCGGCUAACUUCGUG